Molecule: ribosomal RNA, 459 nt
Filed under: uncultured bacterium
Lineage: Bacteria
Description: partial 16S ribosomal RNA
Rfam family: Bacterial small subunit ribosomal RNA
Source: RNAcentral
CCUACGGGUGACAGCAGUGAGGAAUAUUGGUCAAUGGGCGGAAGCCUGAACCAGCCAAGCCGCGUGAGGGAGGAAGGUACAGAGUAUCGUAAACCUCUUUUGUCAGGGAACAAAGGCGGGGACGUGUCCCCGGAUGAGUGUACCUGAAGAAAAAGCAUCGGCUAACUCCGUGCCAGCAGCCGCGGUAAUACGGGGGAUGCGAGCGUUAUCCGGAUUUAUUGGGUUUAAGGGGUGCGCAGGCGGUCUGUUAAGUCAGCGGUCAAAGCCCGGGGCUCAACCCCGGCCCGCCGUUGAAACUGGCAGUCUCGAGUUGGAGAGAGGUAUGCGGAAUGCGCGGUGUAGCGGUGAAAUGCAUAGAUAUCGCGCAGAACUCCGAUUGCGAAGGCAGCAUGCCGGCUCCACACUGACGCUGAGGCACGAAAGCGUGGGUAUCGAACAGGAUUAGAUACCCGAGUAGUC